RNAcentral lists this ribosomal RNA (305 nucleotides) under uncultured bacterium. RNAcentral describes it as "bacterial SSU rRNA". It matches the Rfam family "Bacterial small subunit ribosomal RNA", at positions 335 to 655 of the family's 1533-position model. The record is from RNAcentral.
UCCCUACGGGGGGCAGCAGUGGGAAAUAUUGGGCAAUGGAGGCAACUCUGACCCAGCAACGCCGCGUGAAUGAUGAAGGUCUUCGGAUUGUAAAGUUCUGUGAUGGGGGAUGAACACAAUGACGGUACCCCAAUAGCAAGCCACGGCUAACUACGUGCCAGCAGCCGCGGUAAUACGUAGGUGGCAAGCGUUAUCCGGAUUUACUGGGUGUAAAGGGGGCGCAGACGGCAAUGCAAGCCAGGAGUGAAAGCCCGGGGCCCAACCCCGGGACUGCUCUUGGAACUGCAUGGCUGGAGUACAGGAGG